UUUUCGGUGUUUGCAUCGCAAUCUAAAUCUGACGUCAUUUUCCCAACUAUUCGACACGUGAUUGGCUAGAACGUUUCGUCGACGUCAGAUUUUAGCUUGUCACCAACAGCUGAUCGGGCACCUUGUUAUGAUAGAAGUCAGUGUCUUCAGUGCGACAACAAUACGUUAAUAUAGAUGUGGGUUGGUUAUAUUUUGAGAUUGAUUUACAACUGGCACACAUAAGUUGACAGUUAAUGCAUAAAGAGUGUAGUUUCUAUAACAUCAAAUAUGAGGUCUAUACACAAUUAAAUUACAUGCAUGAAGAUAACUUGGAGGCAAUGGUGUCAUACAAGUUUAAUAGUUUUAACUAUGAUAGCC
Mytilus trossulus (common blue mussel) is the source of this 357-nucleotide long non-coding RNA. RefSeq lists it as uncharacterized. The transcript has 3 exons. The record is from RefSeq and is a predicted model, not a curated record. Lineage: Eukaryota; Metazoa; Mollusca; Bivalvia; Mytilida; Mytilidae.